This 1214-nucleotide ribosomal RNA is filed under the name Bacillus subtilis subsp. subtilis. RNAcentral describes it as "bacterial SSU rRNA". It matches the Rfam family "Bacterial small subunit ribosomal RNA", at positions 12 to 1193 of the family's 1533-position model. The record is from RNAcentral. Lineage: Bacteria; Bacillati; Bacillota; Bacilli; Caryophanales; Bacillaceae.
UUUGAUCCCUUGAUUCAGGACGAACGCUGSCGSCSUGCCCUAAUACAUGCAAGUCGAGCGGAACAGAUGGGAGCUUGCUCCMUGAUGUUAGCGGCGGACSGGUGAGUUAWCACGUGGGGUAACCUGCCWGUAAGACUGGGAUAACUCCGGGAAACCCGGGGCUAAUACCGGAUGGUUGUUUGAACCGCAUGGUUCAAACAUAAAAGGUGGCUUCGGGCUACCACUUACAGAUGGACCCGCCGGCGCAUUAGCUAGUUGGUGAGGUAACGGCUCACCAAGGCAACGAUGCGUAGCCGACCUGAGAGGGUGAUCGGCCACACUGAKRACUGAGACACGGCCCAGACUCCUACGGGAGGCAGCAGUAGGGAAUCUUCCGCAAUGGACGAAAGUCUGACGGAGCAACGCCGCGUGAGUGAUGAAGGUUUUCGGAUCGUAAAGCUCUGUUGUUAGGGAAGAACAAGUACCGUUCGAAUAGGGCGGUACCUUGACGGUACCUAACCAGAAAGCCACGGCUAACUACGUGCCAGCAGCCGCGGUAAUACGUAGGUGGCAAGCGUUGUCCGGAAUUAUUGGGCGUAAAGGGCUCGCAGGCGGUUUCUUAAGUCUGAUGUGAAAGCCCCCGGCUCAACCGGGGAGGGUCAUUGGAAACUGGGGAACUUGAGUGCAGAAGAGGAGAGUGGAAUUCCACGUGUAGCGGUGAAAUGCGUAGAGAUGUGGAGGAACACUSAGGGUGGGCGAAGGCGACUCUCUGGUCUGUAACUGACGCUGAGGAGCGAAAGCGUGGGGAGCGAACAGGAUUAGAUACCCUGGUAGUCCACGCCGUAAACGAUGAGUGCUAAGUGUUAGGGGGUUUCCGCCCCUUAGUGCUGCAGCUAACGCAUUAAGCACUCCGCCUGGRGACGUACGGUCGCAAGACUGAAACUCAAAGGAAUUGACGGGGGCCCGCACAAGCGGUGGAGCAUGUGGUUUAAUUCGAAGCAACGCGAAGAACCUUACCAGGUCUUGACAUCCUCUGACAAUCCUAGAGAUAGGACGUCCCCUUCGGGGGCAGAGUGACAGGUGGUGCAUGGUUGUCGUCAGCUCGUGUCGUGAGAUGUUGGGUUAAGUCCCGCAACGAGCGCAACCCUUGAUCUUAGUUGCCAGCAUUCAGUUGGGCACUCUAAGGUGACUGCCGGUGACAAACCGGAUGGAAGGUGGGGAUGACGUGGGAUCAU